This 474-nucleotide ribosomal RNA is filed under the name uncultured bacterium. RNAcentral describes it as "bacterial SSU rRNA". It matches the Rfam family "Bacterial small subunit ribosomal RNA", at positions 28 to 514 of the family's 1533-position model. The record is from RNAcentral.
GAUGAACGCUAGCGGCAGGCCUAAUACAUGCAAGUCGAGGGGGCAGCAAUGUCACCGGCGGACGGGUGCGUAACACGUUUGGAAUCUGCCUUGUACAGGGGGAUAGCCCGCCGAAAGGCGGAUUAAUACCGCAUAUGCUCGUGGUCUGGCAUCAGGCAGCGAGGAAAGGAGCAAUCCGGUACGAGAUGACCAUGCGGCUGAUUAGCUAGUUGGCGGGGAGUGGCCCACCAAGGCGACGAUCAGUAGGGGACCUGAGAGGGCGAUCCCCCACACGGGCACUGAGAUACGGGCCCGACUCCUACGGGAGGCAGCAGUAGGGAAUAUUGGGCAAUGGGCGCAAGCCUGACCCAGCCAUGCCGCGUGCCGGAAGAAGGCCCUCUGGGUUGUAAACGGCUUUGACGGGGAAGAAACGACCUGUGCGCAGGGCAUUGACGGUACCCGCAGAAUAAGCACCGGCUAACUCCGUGGCAGCAG